GAUGAACGCUGGCGGCGUGCUUAACACAUGCAAGUCGAACGGAAAGGCCCAAGCUUGCUUGGGUACUCGAGUGGCGAACGGGUGAGUAACACGUGGGUGAUCUGCCCUGCACUUCGGGAUAAGCCUGGGAAACUGGGUCUAAUACCGGAUAGGACGAUGGUUUGGAUGCCAUUGUGGAAAGUUUUUUCGGUGUGGGAUGAGCUCGCGGCCUAUCAGCUGGUUGGUGGGGUAAUGGCCUACCAAGGCGUCGACGGGUAGCCGGCCUGAGAGGGUGUACGGCCACAUUGGGACUGAGAUACGGCCCAGACUCCUACGGGAGGCAGCAGUGGGGAAUAUUGCACAAUGGGCGCAAGCCUGAUGCAGCGACGCCGCGUGGGGGAUGACGGCCUUCGGGUUGUAAACUCCUUUCGCUAGGGACGAAGCGUUUUUGUGACGGUACCUGGAGAAGAAGCACCGGCUAACUACGUG
RNAcentral lists this ribosomal RNA (468 nucleotides) under uncultured bacterium. Its description in RNAcentral is "partial 16S ribosomal RNA". It matches the Rfam family "Bacterial small subunit ribosomal RNA", at positions 28 to 507 of the family's 1533-position model. The record is from RNAcentral.